Molecule: long non-coding RNA, 875 nt
Filed under: Homo sapiens (human)
Lineage: Eukaryota; Metazoa; Chordata; Mammalia; Primates; Hominidae
Description: downregulated RNA in cancer, inhibitor of cell invasion and migration
Source: RNAcentral
UUCGGCGUUACCAGGAGAGACAUGCCACCAUUAGGGCUUCAUUUCCCUGCAGUCUUCUUUAAAUACCAAAACUGCCCUGGGAAGGAUAAGACAUCAGUUUCUUCAUACUUCAGAGCAAAUGGGAUUGAUUCCCAGGACCUCCUUUCUGUGGACUGGGUUUUUGCCUCCUCACCAAGAGACUGGGCUCCCUGGGCGAGCAGAGGCUGCUGGGUUCAGUAUCUGAACACUUUUGCUAAAGGUCUCUGGAAAGCUCCCUGUGUUAAUUCUCGAUGAGACUACGUCUGUGCCGGCCGCUUCCUGAGCCUCCUUCCAUGUGCAUAGGCCUGCUGCAUGCUGGAGACCUGCGGCACAGCUGCCAAGUGCCCCGUGUGGUUCUGUGAUCUUGGGACAGUCACUUCCUCUCUGUGGUUGUCAGUCUUCUCAUCCCUAAGAUGGAAUAAAAAGGCCUACCUCAUUGGGCUCGUGUGGGUGAGGAGAACUGAAGAGUCUGAGAGCGCGGCACGAGCCAGAGGCUACGGAAAACACUGCCCUCCUACACUCCACCUUGGAGAGACCCAGAAAAGAACAAGCUUCAUUUGUAAAAAAGGAAAACAACUCAGGCAAUGGGGGUGGCUUAAAGGCACUCUACAGUGUGCAGAUGCCUUCCACUUCUUCCAUCUGCCCUGUCUCUCCAAGAACCCCUAUGGCCCCGGUCUCAGAACAGAGCUGAGUGCAGAAAUGAAAAUCUAUGGCUCUGUGUUCCAAAACGAUGAAGAAUUUCAAGAUGGUGGCAGUGGUAAAAUCUUUCUCCAGGAAAAAUCUGUCCUUGGCCCAAUGUGUAAACACUUGCUGAGGAACUUGGAAUAACUUGCAGUGUCUUGCAGUAUUGUGAAACC